UUUUAGAAAUUAAUUUAAGGUCUAAUCUGCCCACUGAUUAAUUAAAUGGCCGCAGUAUUUUAACUGUGCAAAGGUAGCAUAAUCAUUAGUCUUUUAAUUGGAGGCUGGAAUGAAUGAUUGAAUGAAAUAUUAACUGUUUCAUAAAAAUUUAUAAUAUAAUUUAAUUUUUUAGUUAAAAAGCUAAAAUAAAUUUAAAAGACGAGAAGACCCUAUAAAUCUUUAUAUUUUUAUAAUUAUAAUUAUUUUGAUAAAUUAAAUUAUAAUUUAUUUAAAUAUUUUAUUGGGGUGAUAUUAAAAUUUAAUAAACUUUUAAUUUAUGAUUUACAUUAAUUAAUGAAUUUAUGAUCCAUAUUUAAUGAUUAAUAAAUUAAGUUACUUUAGGGAUAACAGCGUAAUUUUUUUAGAAAGUUCUUAUUAAUAAAAA
Molecule: ribosomal RNA, 424 nt
Filed under: Megaselia sp. 10 SH-2017
Lineage: Eukaryota; Metazoa; Arthropoda; Insecta; Diptera; Phoridae
Description: partial 16S ribosomal RNA
Source: RNAcentral